RNAcentral lists this ribosomal RNA (428 nucleotides) under Bacteroidota bacterium. Its description in RNAcentral is "Bacteroidetes bacterium partial 16S ribosomal RNA". It matches the Rfam family "Bacterial small subunit ribosomal RNA", at positions 355 to 776 of the family's 1533-position model. The record is from RNAcentral. Lineage: Bacteria; Pseudomonadati; Bacteroidota. RNAcentral also lists the same sequence under 1 other name.
UAGGGAAUCUUCGGCAAUGGGGGGAACCCUGACCGAGCAACGCCGCGUGAGUGAAGAAGGUUUUCGGAUCGUAAAGCUCUGUUGUUAAGGAAGAACGAGUGUGAGAAUGGAAAGUUCAUGCUGUGACGGUACUUAACCAGAAAGGGACGGCUAACUACGUGCCAGCAGCCGCGGUAAUACGUAGGUCCCGAGCGUUGUCCGGAUUUAUUGGGCGUAAGCGAGCGCAGGCGGUUAGAAAAGUCUGAAGUGAAAGGCAGUGGCUCAACCAUUGUAGGCUUUGGAAACUGUUUAACUUGAGUGCAGAAGGGGAGAGUGGAAUUCCAUGUGUAGCGGUGAAAUGCGUAGAUAUAUGGAGGAACACCGGUGGCGAAAGCGGCUCUCUGGUCUGUAACUGACGCUGAGGCUCGAAAGCGUGGGGAGCGAACAGG